Long non-coding RNA from Anoplopoma fimbria (sablefish), 228 nucleotides. RefSeq lists it as uncharacterized. The transcript has 3 exons. The record is from RefSeq and is a predicted model, not a curated record. Lineage: Eukaryota; Metazoa; Chordata; Actinopteri; Perciformes; Anoplopomatidae.
UCUAAUGGCCGAUCUAUGGUGCAGGAUACCCGGACAGUUGGAGUCUACGAUAACUUCCAGGUCAUCCCUCUCAGUUUUAGCACAAGCCUGGACAACUUCAACCCUAACAUUCCAGAGUGGAGAGAGGACAUCGGCCAGGUGGUCACCAAAAUACUUGUUAAGACCACAGGUGUCCCUCUAGAGUCCCUGGUUACAGUGGUGAAGCCAGGCCUCCCCACCACUGCUGAC